Molecule: long non-coding RNA, 1431 nt
Organism: Syngnathus typhle (broad-nosed pipefish)
Lineage: Eukaryota; Metazoa; Chordata; Actinopteri; Syngnathiformes; Syngnathidae
Exons: 3
Source: RefSeq, a predicted model, not a curated record
GUACUUUAAUUAUAUCAGCUGGAGAGAUUACUUCCUUAACUUUGUUCCUGUUUACAAAAUGUACUUCAUCUUUAAGGUUGUGAAACUCAACAGCUGGCAGGACUUGUUUUACAGUAAUGCGAUGACUAACACCAAUCUCGUCUUCAAAUUCACACUCAGAAUUGCUGUAGCCAAUGAUGCUCCAUCCUAGUAUAGAUUUCUGUCCAAAUGGCUGAUUUCUUUCUCUGGUCACAACUUCAAUGGGCAAUAAAGCCUGUGGGCAGUUGUAGCCAAUUAGUAAGCCGACUUCACACUCGAGUUCUGGAGCCAUCUCAUUUGCUAGAUGUCUGAGGUGGUGAGCUAAUGGGAAUGGGGACCAACGUCUUCUUUUCGGGCUGUGCCCGGCCGGGCCCCAUGGGCAAAGGCCCGGCCACCAGACGCUCACCUUCAAGCCCCAGCUCCAGGCCUGCCUCCAGAGGGGUGCCCCAGUGACCCGCGUCCGGGCGAGGGAAAAUGAAGUCCAUUUAUUUUUCUCACCAUAAGGGGGUUUUGUGAGCCGUGCUUUGUCCGGCCCCUCACCUAUGACCCUUUUGCCAUGGGUUACCCUACCAGGGGCAUGAAGCUCCAAACAACAUGGCUCCUAGCAGUGACGUGCGGUGAGGUUCAUGACUGGGGAGGCACUGAGACGGCACACACGCCAGAGUACACCAGCUGGGGAGGUGGUUAGGUGACACCCAAACUGACAAUGGCUGUCUGGUUUUCUCGCAGACCAAUCAGGAUGAGGGAACUGCAGCGGAUUACCCCCCUCGAAGACACCGCCAGGACAAUCGAGGGCACCUCCUGCAGCUCUUCACUUUGAAUUGGACAUCCACUUUUUCUUUGGAUUGUUUUAUAUUAUGUGUUCUAUGUGCCCUCUCUGCAUCCAUUGCAGCCUGGUCAUCCUGGAAGGGGGAUCCUCCCAUCUGUCAUUUUUCCUCCAGUAGGAGUUUUUUUUUUGUUUUUCCUUGCCCUCCUGUGAGUUUAAGAUAAGGGGAUGUUCGAGAAUAAUUCUUAUUUUUUUGUAUAUGUGAAGCCCUUUGAGACUUUCCUGUAAUUUAGGGCUAUAUAAAUAAACUUGACUUGACUACUAAUGGGCGGAUCAAACCUGUGGUUUUGAUACAUUGAUACUCUUUUUAGUAGGGAUGGGCGAUACCAAUGAUUUUGGAAUUGAUCCGAUACCAAGUAUUUCCUACCCAAAAUACCCGAUAUUCGAUCCGAUAUCGAUACCGGAAGUGUAAUUUCCCGCCAAAAAAACAAUUUAAAUGCAGUGGCAUUCUUGCUCUUGGAGAGUCAUCUAUUGAAUUUUGUAGAAAAAAGUAUUACGUCAUGUACAUGAAUUAUUAACCUUUUUAGACAUUAGUGCAUUAGUGGAAGAUGCAUAUUAAUAGUAUAACUUUAAUAAAAAGGAGCUAU